Long non-coding RNA from Sitophilus oryzae (rice weevil), 617 nucleotides. RefSeq lists it as uncharacterized. The record is from RefSeq and is a predicted model, not a curated record. NCBI's taxonomy places the organism in Eukaryota, Metazoa, Arthropoda, Insecta, Coleoptera, Curculionidae. The transcript is spliced from 2 exons.
CGAAUCGAACGCAAAAAUUAUGGGCCCAGUUUUUGAGAUCUAAAUGAAGUUCGAAAAUCGCCGUUAGGGGCGCUUGUGAUGAUUGGGAUACUAGAAAUACACAGCUUCUUAUGGCAAGAAUAACUAUUUUGUUAUAAAUUAUAGAGCCAAGUUAAUAUUUGGGCAUAUUUUUACCAGAGUUAGCUUUUAGAAACGUGGUUUUUCUAAUUGAGCAAUGUGCGUGGCUAAAAUUGUGAAUACAAAACCUUAAAUUUGAGUUUGAAAAUGCAUACACGACCGAAGAAACAUAUAAGCUGCUAAAAUAAAUCUUCCCUAGAACUGUUGUACAAAAAAGAUAGAAGUUCCAGCAACAAAUUUAUCACCAGUUCAACCUUUGAUUUGAUGUAAACAGUAAUUGUUUCUUGAUGAGAAAUGCGAAUGAAAUAGUUUAUGGUGUGAUUGUGUUAGUGUUUUAUUAAUAGUUUUGUUGAUGCAGUUUAAAGGUUCAUAGUUUUUCAUUAAAACAUUUGAAAUUGACAUGUUUACAUGCAGUUUAGUGUGAUACCAUUUUAAUAAACAUUAAAAUCUUUCGAACUAGUAGUGGUUUUAUGGCGAUUGACAGAUUGAAUAACGAAAAU